CGGGGUGCAGCAGGCGCGAAAACUCUACAAUGCAGGCAACUGCGAUAGGGGGACAUCGAGUGGCAUCCACCUUGGGUGCCUGUCCCACCGUCUAAAAAACGGUGGUUAGCAAGGGCCGGGCAAGACCGGUGCCAGCCGCCGCGGUAAUACCGGCGGCUCGAGUGGUGGCCGAUAUUAUUGAGUCUAAGGGGUCCGUAGCCGGCUUUGCAAGUCCCCUGGGAAAUCCAGCGGCUUAACCGUUGGGCUUUCAUGGGAUACUACAUUGCUUGGGACUGGGAGAGGUAGGAGGUACUCGGGGGGUAGGGGUGAAAUCCUGUAAUUCCCCGGGGACCACCGGUGGCGAAGGCGUCCUACCAGAACAGGUCCGACGGUGAGGGACGAAAGCUAGGGGCACGAACCGGAUUAGAUACCCGGGUAGUCCUAGCCGUAAACGAUGCCCGCUAGGUGUCACGGCGGUCGUGAAUCGCCGUGGUGCCGUAGGGAAGCCGCGAAGCGGGCCACUUGGGAAGUACGGCCGCAAGGCUGAAACUUAAAGGAAUUGGCGGG
RNAcentral lists this ribosomal RNA (546 nucleotides) under uncultured archaeon. RNAcentral describes it as "bacterial SSU rRNA". It matches the Rfam family "Archaeal small subunit ribosomal RNA", at positions 326 to 872 of the family's 1478-position model. The record is from RNAcentral.